AAAUUUAAAUAUAGUUUAUGUUAAAAUAUUUUAAACUUUCUUUAUAUUUUUAGUAUAAAUUUAUAUAUAAAUAGAAGAAAAAUUUAUUUUUUUAAAAAAAAUAAAAUAGAAGUUUAAUAAAAUGAUUUGGCUAAACUUGUGCCAGCCGCCGCGGUUAUACAAGUAAAUCUUUUUUAAUAUAUUAAAAAUAAUAAAAUUAUUAAAAAAUUUUUAAAAAAUUAAUAAAGGUGAAAUUUAUAUUUUUUAAUAACAAAAUUGAUUUUAAAAAAAUUUAAUUUUUAAACUAGGAUUAGAUACCCUAUUAUUUUAAGCUAAAUGUUGGUAGUAAGUAAAGUUUAUGAAAUCAUAAAAUUUUGGCGGUAUUUUAAGCUUAUUAGAGGAAUUUGCUCUGUAAUGGACACAACGCCUUGAUCUUACUUAAUUUAGUAUUAAAUCAGUUUGUAUACCACUAUAUUUAAUUAUAUUGAAUAAUUAUAGUUAAGAUUUUUUUUAAUCUAAAAAGUAUAUUAAGUCAAGGUGCAGCUUAUAAUUAUGAAUGAAGUGAAUUACAUUAAUUUUAAUGCUAUAAUAUUGAAAAGAAAAUUAGGAUUUAAUAGUAAAAUAUUAAUAGAAUGAAUAUUUGAAAUAAGCUCUAAAAUAUGCACAUAUCGCCCGUCGCUCUCAGAGGUGAGAUAAGUCGUAACAAAGUAAAAGUACUGGAAAGUGUUUUU
This 710-nucleotide ribosomal RNA is filed under the name Ixodes sinensis. RNAcentral's name for it is "12S ribosomal RNA". The record is from RNAcentral. Lineage: Eukaryota; Metazoa; Arthropoda; Arachnida; Ixodida; Ixodidae.